AUUCCAGCUCCAAUAGCGUAUAUUAAUGUUGUUGCAGUUAAAAAGCUCGUAGUUGGAUUUCUGGUUUCACAGAACUGGCCUACUUCCUCAAGGUCGUGUGCGCCGUGUUUUGUGUACCAUCCUUCUAGAAAUUGUGUUCCAUCCCUUCACUGGGAUAGAUCCGAGAUCUAGAUCAUUUACUUUGAAGAAAUUAGAGUGUUCAAAGCAGGCUCGCGCUGUGAAUACAUUAGCAUGGAAUAAUAAUUUAGGACUUGGUAUCCUAUUUUGUUGGUUUUCAGGAUCUAAGUAAUGAUUGAUAGGGAUAGUUGGGGGUGCUAGUAUUUUGCGGCCAGAGGUGAAAUUCUGUGAUUCGCGAAAGACUAACUUAUGCGAAAGCAUUCACCAAGGAUGUCUUCAUUA
This 399-nucleotide ribosomal RNA is filed under the name Cercozoa sp. RNAcentral describes it as "partial small subunit ribosomal RNA". It matches the Rfam family "Eukaryotic small subunit ribosomal RNA", at positions 582 to 975 of the family's 1831-position model. The record is from RNAcentral. Lineage: Eukaryota; Cercozoa.